This 264-nucleotide unclassified non-coding RNA is filed under the name uncultured Trichoderma. RNAcentral describes it as "sequence contains ITS2". The stretch from base 1 to 52 matches the Rfam family "5.8S ribosomal RNA", at positions 103 to 154 of the family's 154-position model. The record is from RNAcentral. Lineage: Eukaryota; Fungi; Ascomycota; Sordariomycetes; Hypocreales; Hypocreaceae.
AACGCACAUUGCGCCCGCCAGUAUUCUGGCGGGCAUGCCUGUCCGAGCGUCAUUUCAACCCUCGAACCCCUCCGGGGGGUCGGCGUUGGGGAUCGGCCCUUUCACCGGGUGCCGGCCCCUAAAUACAGUGGCGGUCUCGCCGCAGCCUCUCAUGCGCAGUAGUUUGCACACUCGCACCGGGAGCGCGGCGCGUCCACGUCCGUAAAACACCCCAACUUCUGAAAUGUUGACCUCGGAUCAGGUAGGAAUACCCGCUGAACUUAA